AAGCGCUUGAGGUCAGUCGCAUCUGUCAGGACUCAGCCAGGCUUCUGCCUGGUGUACUUCCUGGCCGGUGGGUCAGCGUCAGUUUUGACCGAGGGAGAAAGGCUUGGGGAAUGUGGCUGUCUUCGGGCAGUGUUAUAGCCCCUUGUUGUAUGUCUCGGUUGGGACUGAGGAUCGCAGCACGCCUUAUGGCCGGGGUUCGCGCCCUCGGUACGUGCUUAGGAUGCUGGCAUAAUGGCCUUAAGCG
RNAcentral lists this ribosomal RNA (244 nucleotides) under Sebacina sp. RNAcentral's name for it is "partial large subunit ribosomal RNA". The record is from RNAcentral. Lineage: Eukaryota; Fungi; Basidiomycota; Agaricomycetes; Sebacinales; Sebacinaceae.